UAACGCGUGAGAAUCUAGCUUCAGGUUCGGGACAACAGAGGGAACCGCUGCUAAUACCGGAUGCGCCUAAAGGUAAAAGAUUAAUUGCCUGAAGAUGAGCUCGCGGCCGAUUAGCUAGUUGGUGGGGUUAUAGCCUACCAAGGCGACGAUCGGUAGCUGGUCUGAGAGGACGAUCAGCCACACUGGGACUGAGACACGGCCCAGACUCCUACGGGAGGCAGCAGUGGGGAAUUUUCCGCAAUGGGCGAAAGCCUGACGGAGCAAGACCGCGUGAGGGAGGAAGGCUCUUGGGUUGUAAACCUCUUUUAUCAGGGAAUAAUCAAUGAAGGUACCUGAGGAAUCAGCAUCGGCUAACUCCGUGCCAGCAGCCGCGGUAAUACGGAGGAUGCAAGCGUUAUCCGGAAUCAUUGGGCGUAAAGCGUCCGCAGGUGGUAGUUCAAGUCGAUUGUCAAAGGCAGUAGCUUAACUACUGACAGGCAGUGGAAACUGAAAGACUAGAGUGCGGUAGGGGUAGAGGGAAUUCCCGGUGUAGCGGUGAAAUGCGUAGAGAUCGGGAAGAACACCAGUGGCGAAAGCGCUCUGCUGGACCGGCACUGACACUGAGGGACGAAAGCUAGGGGAGCGAAUGGGAUUAGAUACCCCC
Molecule: ribosomal RNA, 643 nt
Filed under: uncultured Plectonema sp.
Lineage: Bacteria; Bacillati; Cyanobacteriota; Cyanophyceae; Oscillatoriales; Microcoleaceae
Description: bacterial SSU rRNA
Rfam family: Bacterial small subunit ribosomal RNA
Source: RNAcentral